RNAcentral lists this ribosomal RNA (484 nucleotides) under uncultured bacterium. RNAcentral describes it as "partial 16S ribosomal RNA". It matches the Rfam family "Bacterial small subunit ribosomal RNA", at positions 30 to 507 of the family's 1533-position model. The record is from RNAcentral.
AUUGAACGCUGGCGGCAGGCCUAACACAUGCAAGUCGAGCGGAUGAAGGGAGCUUGCUCCUGGAUUCAGCGGCGGACGGGUGAGUAAUGCCUAGGAAUCUGCCUGGUAGUGGGGGAUAACGUCCGGAAACGGGCGCUAAUACCGCAUACGUCCUGAGGGAGAAAGUGGGGGAUCUUCGGACCUCACGCUAUCAGAUGAGCCUAGGUCGGAUUAGCUAGUUGGUGGGGUAAAGGCCUACCAAGGCGACGAUCCGUAACUGGUCUGAGAGGAUGAUCAGUCACACUGGAACUGAGACACGGUCCAGACUCCUACGGGAGGCAGCAGUGGGGAAUAUUGGACAAAGGGCGAAAGCCUGAUCCAGCCAUGCCGCGUGUGUGAAGAAGGUCUUCUGAUUGUAAAGCACUUUAAGUUGGGAGGAAGGGCAGUAAGUUAAUACCUUGCUGUUUUGACGUUACCAACAGAAUAAGCACCGGCUAACUUCGUG